Hordeum vulgare subsp. vulgare (domesticated barley) is the source of this 136-nucleotide non-coding RNA. The record is from Rfam. Lineage: Eukaryota; Viridiplantae; Streptophyta; Magnoliopsida; Poales; Poaceae.
UAAAUACUCCCUCCGUCCCAAAAUUCUUAUCUAAAAUUUGUCCAGAAAUUGAUGUAUCUAAAUACUAAAACGUGACUACAUACAUUCAUAUCUAGAUAAAUCUAAGACAAGAAUUAUGGAACGGAGGGAGUACAAA